UACGUAGGGGGCGAGCGUUGUCCGGAGUUACUGGGCGUAAAGGGCGUGCAGGCGGUGCGGUAAGUUUAGCGUGACAGUCUCCGGCUUAACUGGAGAAGGCCGCUGAAAACUGCUGGACUUGAGGGCCAGAGAGGGACAUGGAAUUCCGGGUGGAGUGGUGAAAUGCGUAGAUAUCCGGAGGAAUACCAAAGGCGAAGGCAGUGUCCUGGCUGGCAACUGACGCUGAGGCGCGAAAGCCUAGGGGGAGCGAACAGG
This 255-nucleotide ribosomal RNA is filed under the name uncultured bacterium. RNAcentral's name for it is "partial 16S ribosomal RNA". It matches the Rfam family "Bacterial small subunit ribosomal RNA", at positions 524 to 776 of the family's 1533-position model. The record is from RNAcentral.